RNAcentral lists this ribosomal RNA (253 nucleotides) under uncultured bacterium. RNAcentral's name for it is "partial 16S ribosomal RNA". It matches the Rfam family "Bacterial small subunit ribosomal RNA", at positions 524 to 776 of the family's 1533-position model. The record is from RNAcentral.
UACGUAGGGUGCAAGCGUUGUCCGGAAUUAUUGGGCGUAAAGAGCUCGUAGGCGGUCUGUCGCGUCGGAUGUGAAAAUCCAGGGCUCAACCCUGGACCUGCAUUCGAUACGGGCAGACUAGAGUUCGGUAGGGGAGACUGGAAUUCCUGGUGUAGCGGUGAAAUGCGUAGAUAUCUGGAGGAAUACCGGUGGCGAAGGCGGCAUCCUGGACCGGCAUUGACGCUGAGGAGCGAAAGCCAGGGGAGCAAACGGG